RNAcentral lists this ribosomal RNA (301 nucleotides) under uncultured bacterium. RNAcentral describes it as "partial 16S ribosomal RNA". It matches the Rfam family "Bacterial small subunit ribosomal RNA", at positions 512 to 808 of the family's 1533-position model. The record is from RNAcentral.
CAUCGCCGCGGGAAUACCGAGGGUGCGAGCGUUAAUCGGAUUUACUGGGCGUAAAGCGUGCGUAGGCGGCUUUUUAAGUCGGAUGUGAAAUCCCUGAGCUUAACUUAGGAAUUGCAUUCGAUACUGGGAAGCUAGAGUAUGGGAGAGGAUGGUAGAAUUCCAGGUGUAGCGGUGAAAUGCGUAGAGAUCUGGAGGAAUACCGAUGGCGAAGGCAGCCAUCUGGCCUAAUACUGACGCUGAGGUACGAAAGCAUGGGGAGCAAACAGGAUUAGAUACCCCAGUAGUCCCUGUCUCUUAUACA